GGCCCGUUGGUCAAGUGGUUAAGACACCGCCCUUUCACGGCGGUAACAUGGGUUCAAAUCCCGUACGGGUCAUCA
This 75-nucleotide transfer RNA is filed under the name Lactobacillus sp. RNAcentral describes it as "tRNA-Glu". It matches the Rfam family "tRNA". From Rfam's summary of the family: Transfer RNA (tRNA) molecules are approximately 80 nucleotides in length. RNAcentral also lists the same sequence under 16 other names. Lineage: Bacteria; Bacillati; Bacillota; Bacilli; Lactobacillales; Lactobacillaceae. The record is from RNAcentral.